GACGAACGCUGGCGGCGUGCCUAAUACAUGCAAGUAGAACGCACAGUUUAUACCGUAGCUUGCUACACCAUAGACUGUGAGUUGCGAACGGGUGAGUAACGCGUAGGUAACCUGCCUGGUAGCGGGGGAUAACUAUUGGAAACGAUAGCUAAUACCGCAUAAUAUUGAUUAUUGCAUGAUAAUUGAUUGAAAGAUGCUAUUGCAUCACUACCAGAUGGACCUGCGUUGUAUUAGCUAGUAGGUGAGGUAACGGCUCACCUAGGCGACGAUACAUAGCCGACCUGAGAGGGUGAUCGGCCACACUGGGACUGAGACACGGCCCAGACUCCUACGGGAGGCAGCAGUAGGGAAUCUUCGGCAAUGGACGAAAGUCUGACCGAGCAACGCCGCGUGAGUGAAGAAGGUUUUCGGAUCGUAAAGCUCUGUUGUAAGAGAAGAACGGGUGUGAGAGUGGAAAGUCCACACUGUGACGGUAUCUUACCAGAAAGGGACGGCUAACUACGUG
This 505-nucleotide ribosomal RNA is filed under the name uncultured bacterium. RNAcentral's name for it is "partial 16S ribosomal RNA". It matches the Rfam family "Bacterial small subunit ribosomal RNA", at positions 28 to 507 of the family's 1533-position model. The record is from RNAcentral.